GACGAACGCUGACGGUGUGCUUUAGGCAUGCAAGUCGAACGAGAAAGCCCUUCGGGGUGAGUAGAGUGGCGAACGGGUGAGUAACACGUGGGCAACCUGCCCCUCGCAGGGGGAUAACCGGAGGAAACUCCGGCUAAUACCCCGUAAGCUUUCAGGGUCGCAUGUCCCCGUAAGAAAAGGUAGCUUCGGCCAUCCGGCGAGGGAUGGGCCCGCGGUGCAUUAGCUAGUUGGUGGGGUAACGGCCCACCAAGGCGACGAUGCGUAGCUGGUCUGAGAGGAUGAUCAGCCACACUGGGACUGAGACACGGCCCAGACUCCUACGGGAGGCAGCAGCCAGGAAUCUUGGGCAAUGGGCGCAAGCCUGACCCAGCAACACCGUGUGGGCGAUGAAGGCCUUCGGGUCGUAAAGCCCUGUUGAUAGGGACGAAGGGCGAAGGGUUAAUAGCCCCUAGCCUGACGGUACCUUUCGAGGAAGCCCCGGCUAACUACGUGCCAGCAGCCGCGGUAAUACGUAGGGGGCGAGCGUUGUCCGGAAUUAUUGGGCGUAAAGAGCGUGUAGGCGGUUCGGUAAGUCUGCCGUGAAAACCUGAGGCUCAACCUCGGGCGUGCGGUGGAUACUGCCGGGCUAGAGGACGGUAGAGGCGAGUGGAAUUCCCGGUGUAGCGGUGAAAUGCGCAGAUAUCGGGAGGAACGCGCAGAUAUCGGGAGGAACACCAGUAGCGAAGGCGGCUCGCUGGGCCGUUCCUGACGCUGAGACGCGAAAGCUAGGGGAGCGAACAGGAUUAGAUACCCUGGUAGUCCUAGCCCGUAAACGAUGGACACUAGGUGUGGGGGGGGAGUCGAAUCCCUCUGUGCCGCAGUUAACGCGGUUUAGUGUCCCGCCUGGGGAGUACCGGACGCAAGACUAAAACUCAAAAGAACUUGGAACUGGGGGC
RNAcentral lists this ribosomal RNA (935 nucleotides) under uncultured Actinomycetes bacterium. Its description in RNAcentral is "bacterial SSU rRNA". It matches the Rfam family "Bacterial small subunit ribosomal RNA", at positions 28 to 921 of the family's 1533-position model. The record is from RNAcentral. Lineage: Bacteria; Bacillati; Actinomycetota; Actinomycetes.